Molecule: long non-coding RNA, 741 nt
Organism: Wyeomyia smithii (pitcher-plant mosquito)
Lineage: Eukaryota; Metazoa; Arthropoda; Insecta; Diptera; Culicidae
Exons: 3
Source: RefSeq, a predicted model, not a curated record
UUCGGUGGGGUGUUAUCGAUGCGUUUCUUCACGUAGUAGGCACCGACUGCCGUAAGGGUUGCGCCGCCAACCGCGGCGGUAACCAGCAGGGCCUGCUUGGAUGGGCUGGCCGCCGAAAAGUUUUCCACUAAUUCUACAGAGAAAGAAAAUGACGAAUCAAUCAUCCCCCGGGGAGAAAACGAUUGUAUACUUACUAGAUAGCAUUGUUUCUCGUACUGAUCAAUGAAACAAACUUAGCCAGCGCCAGGUGAUGGCGAAUCAGCCAGUGUUCACACUGAAGUGAUAAGAAAACUGGCAGUGGACUCGCGAGGAUGAUGAUAAGAGGAUCUUAGGGGGAGCUUCACUUUUAUCAGUCGCUUUACCCGCUUGUCUUGCUUCGCGAAUUAGUGCGAAAAUCAUACUGCGACUUUCUAGGAGAGAUGAUAGAGGAAAGUGCGAGUGCGAUAGGUUGUUUUUAUUGAGUCCGUGUGUUAAUUGUAGUGCUCACAGGAGACCGGCACUUUUUUGCUGGUCACUAUAUAAUCGAGUCGGCGAUAGUGGCGCUAAUUUUCGUUCUAGCUUGAAUAAAUCUAGCAUGGGCGACUACAGCUGCAACUCCAACUGACAAACGUCAAAACCAUAAAGCGAAACAAAAAUAGUGACGAUGGCGAACGGUGCAAGCAGCACAUUCACCCAGAAAUAAGUUCACUUGAGCAUCCUGAAAUCGAUUGCAUCAAUACAGUGACAGGGAUCAUCUUUAGA